AACGAACGCUGGCGGCAGGCUUAACACAUGCAAGUCGAACGCACCUUUCGGGGUGAGUGGCAGACGGGUGAGUAACGCGUGGGAAUCUACCCUUCUCUACGGGAUAGCUCCGGGAAACUGGAAUUAAUACCGUAUACGUCCUGAGGGAGAAAGAUUUAUCGGGGAAGGAUGAGCCCGCGUUGGAUUAGCUAGUUGGUGGGGUAAAGGCCCACCAAGGCGACGAUCCAUAGCUGGUCUCAGAGGAUGAUCAGCCACAUUGGGACUGAGACACGGCCCAAACUCCUACGGGAGGCAGCAGUGGGGAAUAUUGGACAAUGGGCGCAAGCCUGAUCCAGCCAUGCCGCGUGAGUGAUGAAGGCCCUAGGGUUGUAAAGCUCUUUCAGUGGGGACGAUAAUGACGGUACCCACAGAAGAAGCCCCGGCUAACUUCGUG
RNAcentral lists this ribosomal RNA (433 nucleotides) under uncultured bacterium. RNAcentral describes it as "partial 16S ribosomal RNA". It matches the Rfam family "Bacterial small subunit ribosomal RNA", at positions 29 to 507 of the family's 1533-position model. The record is from RNAcentral.